Molecule: ribosomal RNA, 449 nt
Filed under: uncultured soil bacterium
Lineage: Bacteria
Description: bacterial SSU rRNA
Rfam family: Bacterial small subunit ribosomal RNA
Source: RNAcentral
AGAACGAACGCUGGCGGCAUGCCUAAUACAUGCAAGUCGAACGAACUCUUCGGAGUUAGUGGCGCACGGGUGCGUAACGCGUGGGAAUCUGCCCUUGGGUUCGGAAUAACAGUUGGAAACGACUGCUAAUACCGGAUGAUGACGAAAGUCCAAAGAUUUAUCGCCCAGGGAUGAGCCCGCGUAGGAUUAGCUAGUUGGUGAGGUAAAGGCUUACCAAGGCGACGAUCCUUAGCUGGUCUGAGAGGAUGAUCAGCCACACUGGGACUGAGACACGGCCCAGACUCCUACGGGAGGCAGCAGUAGGGAAUAUGGACAAUGGGCGAAAGCCUGAUCCAGCAAUGCCGCGUGAGUGAUGAAGGCCUUAGGUUGUAAAGCUCUUUACCGAGAUGAUAAUGACAGUAUCGGGAAGAAUAAGCCCCGGAUAACCGUCCGUAGCCGAGCCAGGCCGU